RNAcentral lists this long non-coding RNA (752 nucleotides) under Hordeum vulgare. Its description in RNAcentral is "long non-coding RNA (HVUL_LNC015048)". The record is from RNAcentral. Lineage: Eukaryota; Viridiplantae; Streptophyta; Magnoliopsida; Poales; Poaceae.
AGAAAACAACAAAAGGUGCUAAUGCAGCUAUCAGAUUGCUCAAGGUGGUUUGCUUAGUUGGUUGGGUGCUAGUGAACUAUAUGUAAGAGUGCUCAAAUUUAUUUCAAAUGUUCCUCUUUUUUGUCUUUGUCUUUUCAUGGGUGACGAGGAUGAUUCUGCUAAUGGCAACUUUGGUUUUGUCUAUUAGGCUAGAAAUAAAGUAACAUAACUCUUCCUACAAUUGUAACUUGGGAUCCUAAAUUUAAACAUCAUGGUGCUAAAAUUAUGCAUUAAUUCAGUACACUGCAUGUUGCUAUGGCACUUGCGAAAACUGAAAAUUUUGUAUGGUGUCUCAAACAUAGAUUGCAUGGCCUUCAACAAUUGUACAUGACUAAUACCUUGCCUUUAUUACAACUUACAUCAUGUAAAUACAUUGUGUGUUAACUGUUCAUUUUUUUUUGUAGGUUCAAAAGAUAAAUGGAUGAGUAUAUAUGGGUGGGUGGCAAGUAUACUUCAAUGAGGAUGUUGAUUUUCCGGAUCAUGGUGAUGAUGAUGGAUGAUUUCAGUUUUAUUUAAGUAGUAGGGAUGUCGUUCCCGUUGGAUGUUGUUUGUCGGUCUAGUUUUGGUUAAGUUGUAGGGAUGUUGAUGGAUGCUUUCAGUUUAAAUUUCACUGGCAAGAAAAUAGUUAGAUUAUGCAUCACAUUUGGAUGAUGUUCCUCAUGUAAUUUCCAAUAUUGUAAUCUAACAUUUUUAUGUAAUAUAUGAUUUCUUUC